UAUAUCAUCAGAACUGUGGGGACACAGGGCGAUAACCAGACCCGGGAAUGAAAAGACCGGGGCAAGCGAAGAAGGAGUUAAGCCGGCAAAUCCGCUUAACAAUCCGAAGACGUGAUGCGGACCGAACAAAAGUAGGGAAGCUGGAGAUUCGAACUGUCAAGAAAAGCCGCUAUUGUGUGAUAUGUGCCCGUACCGUAAACCGACACAGGUGGAUGAGGAGAGAAUCUUAAGGCCGGCGGGAGAAGCAUUGUUAAGGAACUCGGCAAAAUGACCCUGUAACUUCGGGAUAAAGGGUGCCUGCGCAAGCAGGCCGCAGAGAAUAGGCUCAAGCAACUGUUUAGCAAAAACACAGGUCUAUGCAAAACCGAAAGGUGAGGUAUAUGGGCUGACGCCUGCCCGGUGCUGGAAGGUUAAGAGGAGAGGUUAGAGCAAUCGAAGCUUUGAAUUUAAGCCCCAGUAAACGGCGGCCGUAACGAUAACGGUCCUAAGGUAGCGAAAUUCCUUGUCGGGUAAGUUCCGACCCGCACGAAAGGCGUAAUGAUUUGAGCGCUGUCUCGACAAUGCACCCGGUGAAAUUGAAAUACCAGUGAAGAUGCUGGUUACCUGCGCCAGGACGGAAAGACCCCAUGGAGCUUUACUCAGCUUGAUACUGGGAUUCGGUUAUACAUGUACAGGAUAGGUGGGAGGCUAAGAAGUGAGGACGCCAGUCUUCACGGAGCCGCUGUUGGGAUACCACCCUUGUGUGACUGGGUUUCUAACCUGCAGCCGUGACCCGGCUGGGGGACAAUGUCAGGUGGGGAGUUUGACUGGGGCGGCCGCCUCCGAAAGGGUAUCGGAGGCGCUCAAAGGUUCCCUCAGAAUGGUUGGAAACCAUUUGCAGAGUGCAAAGGCAUAAGGGAGCUUGACUGCGAGACCGGCGGGUCGAGCAGGUAGGAAACUAGGACUUAGUGAUCCGGUGGUAUAAAGUGGGAUUGCCAUCGCUCAACGGAUAAAAGCUACCCUGGGAUAACAGGCUUAUCACUCCCAAGAGUUCACAUCGACGGAGUGGUUUGGCACCUCGAUGUCGGCUCAUCGCAUCCUGGGGCUGAAGUAGGUCCCAAGGGUUGGGCUGUUCGCCCAUUAAAGCGGUACGCGAGCUGGGUUCAGAACGUCGUGAGACAGUUCGGUCCCUAUCCGGCGUGGGCGUAGGAUAUUUGAGAGGAGCUGUCCUUAGUACGAGAGGACCGGGAUGGACUGACCUCUGGUGCAUCGGUUGAGAAUCAAUCUCAUGGCCGAGUAGCCAAGUCGGGACGGGAUAAACGCUGAAGGCAUCUAAGCGUGAAGCCUCCCUCAAGAUGAGAUAUCCCAUACGCAAGUAGUAAGACCCCUUGAAGACGACGAGGUAGAUAGGGCAGAGGUGGAAGCGUGGUAACACGUGCAGCUGACUGUCACUAAUAGGUCGAGGGCUUAGC
Molecule: ribosomal RNA, 1451 nt
Filed under: metagenome
Description: bacterial LSU rRNA
Rfam family: Bacterial large subunit ribosomal RNA
Source: RNAcentral